Molecule: ribosomal RNA, 467 nt
Filed under: uncultured bacterium
Lineage: Bacteria
Description: partial 16S ribosomal RNA
Rfam family: Bacterial small subunit ribosomal RNA
Source: RNAcentral
GACGAACGCUGGCGGCGUGUUUAACACAUGCAAGUCGAACGGAAAGGCCUCUUUCGGGGGGUACUCGAGUGGCGAACGGGUGAGUAACACGUGAGUAACCUGCCCUUGACUUUGGGAUAACUUCAGGAAACUGGGGCUAAUACCGGAUAGGAGCUCCUGCUGCAUGGUGGGGGUUGGAAAGUUUCGGCGGUUGGGGAUGGACUCGCGGCUUAUCAGCUUGUUGGUGGGGUAGUGGCUUACCAAGGCUUUGACGGGUAGCCGGCCUGAGAGGGUGACCGGCCACAUUGGGACUGAGAGACGGCCCAGACUCCGACGGGAGGCAGCAGUGGGGAAGAUUGCACAAGGGGUGGAAGCCUGAUGCAGCAACGCCGUGUGCGGGAUGACGGCCUUCGGGUUGUAAACCGCUUUCGCUCAUGACGAAGCUUUGUGUGACGGUAGUGGGUAAAGAAGCACCGGCUAACUACGUG